This 222-nucleotide ribosomal RNA is filed under the name uncultured bacterium. Its description in RNAcentral is "partial 16S ribosomal RNA". It matches the Rfam family "Bacterial small subunit ribosomal RNA", at positions 15 to 231 of the family's 1533-position model. The record is from RNAcentral.
GAUCCUGGCUCAGGAUGAACGCUAGCGACAGGCUUAACACAUGCAAGUCGAGGGGCAGCGGGGAGUAGCAAUACUCUGCCGGCGACCGGCGCACGGGUGAGUAACGCGUAUGCAACUUGCCUAUCAGAGGAGAAUAGCUCAUCGAAAGAUGAAUUAAUGCUCCAUGAAACAGGGGUCCCGCAUGGGAAUAUUUGUUAAAGAUUCAUCGCUGAUAGAUAGGCA